This 350-nucleotide ribosomal RNA is filed under the name uncultured bacterium. Its description in RNAcentral is "bacterial SSU rRNA". It matches the Rfam family "Bacterial small subunit ribosomal RNA", at positions 9 to 343 of the family's 1533-position model. The record is from RNAcentral.
GAGUUUGAUCCUGGCUCAGAACGAACGCUGGCGGCGUGCCUAACACAUGCAAGUCGAACGAGAAAGGGGCUUCGGCUCCGAGUAAAGUGGCGCACGGGUGAGUAACACGUGGGUAACCUGCCUCUAAGAUUGGGAUAACUCGUCGAAGGAUGAGCUAAUACCGAAUAAGACCACAGUUCCCGCGGGAACAGGGGUCAAAGGUAGCCUCUGCUUGCAAGCUAUCACUUAGAGAUGGGCCUGCGCACCAUUAGCUAGUUGGUAGGGUAACGGCCUACCAAGGCAAAGAUGGUUAGCUGGUCUGAGAGGAUGAUCAGCCACACUGGAACUGAGACACGGUCCAAACUCCUACG